UACGUCGAAGUCCGGACCUCCAUAAUUAUAUGUAGGAUAUAGCCUAUCAAUAAAAAAAUUAAUAAAAAUCAUUGAUAACAUGAUUAACUUAAAUUAAGGCUUUAGGACCAUGCAGACGUAGCUGAUUACACCAUCGCAACGCUCAUUUCAAGUUGAAAAGCUUCCCUAUCAGUGUACAGACUUGAAGCACAUGAAAAUUACUGAGAGCACCACUCUUUGCGGGCAGCGUUUUGGCAGAAAAAUCUGUUUUGUGAAUUUCCGGGUGGGUGACACGCUGUGCACAUUUACGCUUGGAUCCACUGGAGCAGUAGAAAUGUUAGAGACCAACAUCAAUACAACAAUAAAGAAACCACCUGGAAAGCUACAAUGACUGGGAGCGUUUCAAGACUGGUGGUGGACCCCCAGAAAGACCGGAGACCGACGACCUAGAGACUUGUUGACUUCGAUCACUGAUAGCCAGCAGCCCCUGGAAGGUAUCCCUGAUGAUGAUCAUUUGGACAGUUCAGAUGGGGCCCCGUUCCAAUCCUCAUUUGAUGAUCACCAGAGCUUGGAGGUCCUGAGACAGGAUGAAAGUCAGCCCACUACAGCUGCAGCAGCCUGGAGGGAAGAUGGUGUCACUAAUUCUGGCCAGAUGAGAAGGACCAAGAGGCUGACCAUGCACGGGAAACUGGCCAUGGAAUUCCAUGAGCACAAAUUAAAGCAUUUAAAAGAUGAACAUGAAAUAAAGAUGAAAAUACUUCAUGUUGAGUUAGCCAUGAAGGAGGAACAGAGAAACAUGAAGCAGCAGCAGUACCAAUGUUCUACUGAAACCAGCACCAGUUCAGGGUCCCGAUAUCUCAAUUUGUGAAAUAAAACUUUUGUUCAUAAUCAAUCUGUGGCAAUUGUUGUCUUCAAUCAUCUGAGGUAAACUUCAUUGUGAGAAGUGCUGCAAAGAAAAGGCAUCUCUGCAUGCCAGUCCAUACCUUUCAUUGUCUGGCUCAACCAUGGGAAGAUCUGCUUCAUCCCUAUGUUCCAUUUGAGGAUCUGGGGAGCCAUGCUGUUAGAGGUAAUUGUGAAGAACUGCUGUUGCAAUUAUGACAAUACAGCAUCUUCUUGGUUCAAAGCGCAAUGUGUUUCUGAGACACUGGAAACGACUCUUCCAUACACCAAACAUGCGCUCUACUGUGCCUCUGGUAUGGAUAUGAGCUUGGUUGUACCGCUACUGCUCAAGUGUGCAGGUAAGGGGUGAACAAGAAGUUGGUCUGGGCAUACCCUCUGUCACCAAGUAUGAUUCCACUUUGUGAGCACCUUUAAACUGAUCGUACAGACAGGAGUUCGGGAAAAUUCUUGAGUCAUGAGUUGCACCUUUCCAAUGUACAACAAUGUUGGAGAACUGCAUAGUGGGAGUGCACACACCUUGUACAUUUUUUGAGAACCAGUUUUUACGAUUUAUAUACUCAUCAGAAUCUGCAGUAGAGGGACACUUUAUUGGAAUAUGACAUCCAUCAAUACAGGAAAUGACUCCAGGGAAGUUUCUAUAUGCAAAGAACUCCACCUUGUAGUUGGCUUGGCCAGCAGCAUCAGGAAACUUGAUGUAGUCGUCCUUCAGUUCACAUAUAGCUUUGCACACUUUGUGAACUAUUUUGCACACAGUUGGUUCACUUACGCCACACAAAUCGCCUGUUUCACGAUGGAAGGUUCCACAUGCCAAAAACCUUAAGGUGAUCAGUACUUGUAGCGAAGGAGGGAUAAGCAUUCCCCUACAGGAAUCAGAUGAAAGGCUUGUGUCAAGCAGAAUAAUUAGUCUGCUGCAGUUGCUUUGUACAUGCGAAAACGGUCACGAAAGUUGAUUUCAUCAUUCAGCGGGUUGCUCCUGUCCAUAACCACCCUUCUGUCUGGUCUAAAUGGAGCUCUUUCAUCAUCAUUAAUAUAGUCCAGGUAAUCCAUUUUCCUCUAUUCCUAAUGUCAAUCUGGAGGCCAACAGUCGGAGGCCGACUACUUUAAACCAUGUCUGAGAAAUCCAAUUCCAGUUAGUCCGGCUUAACUCUCCAUUUUAGUCUGGUACGCUUAAUCUCUCUCUGGGUUCAUAAUCUUACUAAGGGGUUGUACCAGAACAGGUUUACAUGGUUUUAUUUUCAAAAAACACCAUAUUUUUGUCAUCCUGCACAUUGCUGCAGCUCUUCUUUUCACCCUGUGUUGAAGGCUUCAAAUUUUUCCAAAGUUUCACAAGACCAGAUUUUUUUGUACAUCAACAUUUCUGUCCAUCAUCCAGAUGUCUCUUGAUUUAAGUUAAAACCUUACAAAAUUAUUCAGAACAUAAUGACAGAAUAACAGCGGUACGAACGUUAAAACUAUCUUACAACUGUGGGUCUUUACUCUGCUGUUGUUGCUGGACUCUGCUGUGUUGGCUGCAGUGGUCUGCGUGUCUGAGGGCUCUGUGAGCUGAUCUGGCCGGUCGGCCCGUUAGCUCCCCCUGCUGACGGUUGCGGAGCGUCACAACGCCGAAAAGUAUUGAGCACAUUUUCGAUUCGCCAUCAUUUUUAGUAAAAUUGCCAUUAUUCGAUAUCUACACAGUUCAUUUCUCACCUCAAGACUUCUCAGAAGUGGAUUUAGUAAUGAAAUAACAUACAAAACGUUCUGUUCUGGCCUCUCUCUCAGCUUCUUUCCACCCCUCGCUUGAAUGCCGAAAUGAAUGCUGGGAUAUAUCUGCUGUCAAGUUCACACAAGUUACCAACCGAUGCAUCCUCUGUAAAAUGGGCUUGUCAAGAACAUUUCCGGGAUUUUUAACCAUUCUUGCCAAAAUGCAAACUUGGGCCACAAAAGAUGACGUGUUCUUGUGUUCUUAUGAAACAAGUACAGGCAAGAACAUGGAUUAAGAAAGGCCCCACGUCUCUAAAUGAUCUUUGUUGGGAGUUGCACAUGUUCAGUACCUAGUUAUGGACUACUAGCCAAUCAGAAGCAGAGUAGGGCGGGCCCUGAGAAGCCGGUAUACACGGCUUCGGUUCAGCUGUAUA
Long non-coding RNA from Micropterus salmoides (largemouth bass), 2993 nucleotides. RefSeq lists it as uncharacterized. Lineage: Eukaryota; Metazoa; Chordata; Actinopteri; Centrarchiformes; Centrarchidae. The record is from RefSeq and is a predicted model, not a curated record. The transcript is spliced from 4 exons.